CCAAGACCGAGGCGCUAGAGACACAAAUCGAAGAUUGGUGACAAUUCUGAACUUACCAUGCAAAGGUGUAUUAGCUGUUACUGAUGUGUUGGCUGAAGAAAUCUGGGAGAAAAGCACCUUUCUGGAGACAAUCAGCAUGCACUCUGCACAUCAGUUGUCUUCUGCAUUAAGCUCCGCAGGCUCUCUUCACUCAAAUAUCUGAGGUGCUUGAUUUUCUUUAAACUUAAUCCAUAAGGAAACAGCGAGCAAGAAUCUUCAUCAAAUCCUGUGGAGAAAGGAUGAGAUCUACUCACUUCAAGAUUUUGGGGGUAUUCCCAGAUGAAGGUCCUGACAGCACCUCAAGCUAUUACCCUGUUCAGGCAGAGUGUGAAAUGGAAGAUUCAAGAUUCAUACUCUCUGUGUAUAGUUGCUGAUCUGUA
Molecule: long non-coding RNA, 419 nt
Filed under: Struthio camelus australis
Lineage: Eukaryota; Metazoa; Chordata; Aves; Struthioniformes; Struthionidae
Description: lncRNA (ENSSCUG00000001774.1)
Source: RNAcentral